UGAAAACAUAAAUGAUGUGUUGUAGCCUCAAAGCUUCAUUGUUGGAGAAACGAGAUUUCAGAGCAUUCCCUGAAGGCACCAUCGGGAACACCAACGGUUUUUUCCCCAGUUUGUCUGUUUAAACCGGGUUCAAAGUACCGUUUCGAGCAGUAAUUUACCACAAACAACGUGUAUAAAAGCGAUAAAGAGAGUUUAAAGAACAAGAGGAGAACAUGGCGGAAAUGAUCAGCGCUGAGGAGCAAGAGAGGUCGUUAUUUUUGGUUCAAAUUCGGUAUUUGGAGGAGGAGCUUGAGAGAUUUAAGCUGGCAAGCGAAGAGCUGGACAAGCAGAACCAAGAGCUGAUCUCAAAUUACAACCAGCUGGAGAAGGACAAGAGGGACAAGACCGAGCGUUUGAAACGCUUUGUGGCGGCGAAAGAGAAGCGCAUGGAUGAGCUGAGCGAGGAGCUGCAGACGCGGCUCCUGCUGGGGAAACGCAGCCGAGAGACGCUGAAGCAGGAGCACAGCAUCACGAAGCAGCAGCUGCAGGAGCAGAUAGACGAGGUUCAGGCAGAGAUAGAGCUGCAGACUGUGACUCUGGAGGAGAACGAGGAGCGCAUCAUGGAGCUGAGGCCUCAUGUGCCUAACAUAGAAUCAGUAGAGGAGGAGCUUCUGAAGAAGAAAGCUGAGCACGACGCUUUUAUUACCCAGCUGAAGAGGAACUCAGAGCUGGCGUGUGAAACGCUGAUCCAGCACUUCCAGGACUACAAGGAGCACACGGAGAACUGUGAAGCCAACAAGCUGCUGGCGACGGCCCGAGCGCUGCACCUGGAGCAGACCGAGCUCGCCACCUUCCUGGUGAGCGAGCAGGGGAUUCUGAAGGAGGAGAUCGCUGCCGUGAAGAAGAAACAGAAAAACAUUUCCUGCACCGGCCGGGGGCUGUGCAGGAAACUCACCUAUCUGAGCCACCUGAGAAACUUCAACGAGCAGGAUGUGAAGCUUCUUAAGAAGACGUUCCUGGAGCUCCAUCAGGAAAAAGAAGAAAGCAUCAAGAACCAGGAAGCCAGUCUGACUGAGACUGAAGCUCUCAGCCAGCAGGUCAACAAAGUGCAUCAGGACUUCCAGCAGAGAGUGGGCGACAUGCAGCGGCUGGAGAAGGAGCUGGAGAAGGAGACGAUCAGGAGGAGGCAGCUGGAGGGAGUGAAGGACGAAGCAAAGGUCAUCCUGAAGCACAUCCUGGAGGGUAAGGAUGACAUGUCUGUGGCUCAGUGGAAGAUCCAGAGGCUGGUGGAGAUCCUGGACCGAGCAGCGCCGCAGAACCCCGAGCCGACCGCCAGCAGCUUCCGUAAUAACCCCAGAGGAGUCCGGAAACGGCACUCCUGUUACCCAUUCAGUUCCAGAAAUAUGAACCCGUCUGGUUCCGACCCGUCUGGCUCCGUCUGACCCGACUGACCCGACUCCUCUGCAGUCACAGACUGGUACCGGCUCCGCCGGGCCGUAAGCAGGAACGGUUUAACGAGUCGCAGAAAUCACUGGAAGUCCUGCAGAGACAGUCUGACCCAGUACAGCCAGUACCACCAGCUGCAGCAGCCCAGUCCCACAGAUCGUCUUCAGGGUUCUGACCAUGAACGAACUAAUGAGAGCGUCUGUUAAUCAGGUGGGAAACAUUCUCCGUCAUUAACCUUAAGCCCCUCUCUGGGCGCUCCAGGCUGCAACAACAUGAUCUUCCCCUUCAUAAUGUCUCCAACAAAAACCUCUAAUUACUUCUGUAAACUGGUCAUGAAAGGCAGCACAGUCUGCACACAGAGGCCCGUCA
Xiphophorus couchianus (Monterrey platyfish) is the source of this 1794-nucleotide RNA transcript. It is a transcript of the gene named cilia- and flagella-associated protein 157-like, with no coding region annotated. The transcript has 9 exons. The record is from RefSeq and is a predicted model, not a curated record. Lineage: Eukaryota; Metazoa; Chordata; Actinopteri; Cyprinodontiformes; Poeciliidae.